UGCCGUGAGGUGUUGGGUUAAGUCCCUUAACGAGCGCAACCCUUGCCUUUAUUUGCUAACAGGUUAAGCUGAGAACUAUAGAGGGACUGCCUACGAAAGUAGGAGGAAGGAGAGGAUGAUGUUAAGUCAUCAUGGCCUUUAUGGAUUGGGCUACACACAUGCUACAAUGGAUAGUACAAUAUGUUGCAAUACAGUAAUGUAAAGCUAAUCAUUAAAGCUAUUCUCAGUUCGGAUUGAGGUUUGCAACUCAACCUCAUGAAGUUGAAAUCGCUAGUA
This 276-nucleotide ribosomal RNA is filed under the name Ctenophora environmental sample. RNAcentral describes it as "partial Bacterial small subunit ribosomal RNA". It matches the Rfam family "Bacterial small subunit ribosomal RNA", at positions 1063 to 1340 of the family's 1533-position model. The record is from RNAcentral. Lineage: Eukaryota; Metazoa; Ctenophora.